Capsicum annuum is the source of this 682-nucleotide long non-coding RNA. RefSeq lists it as uncharacterized. The transcript is spliced from 3 exons. NCBI's taxonomy places the organism in Eukaryota, Viridiplantae, Streptophyta, Magnoliopsida, Solanales, Solanaceae. The record is from RefSeq and is a predicted model, not a curated record.
CACGUAUCAAAAACUAGAAGACCACACACAAGGUGACCUCACCCGUAUUAAAAUUUUCCGCAUAGCAGGCUCUGUAAGCAAAAAAAAAAAAAAAUGUUUUUGGGAGUUGGGUCGAAGUUCGAGUAGCGGGUGGUAUUCGUAUCUGACACUGAAAUCCAAUUUUAGGUUUGUUCAAAAAUAUGUAUAAUGGACUCUGCAGAGCAAAAGAGAGGCCAAGAACUAGCCAAAUCAUCAUCUUUCUACCGCAGGAUAUAUUCAGAGGUAGAAGAGAUAGGAUGGGAGCACCUUGUUAGAUUUGGGGAAGAUUUGAGACUUCUCAGCUUUCGCAUCAAGUAAGGUCUCUUUUAUCUUUCAACACAAUAGUUGGGUUAAAUGAGGAAGGGUAGGUUUUGGUUUAAUGAACGAAGCGGGUAUAGAUUGCUUCCCUUGUUUGGUAGGAAUUAUAAGAGGAGGGAGGUUAAAAUGGAGGAUAUCCAUCCCCUCCAUGUUAUUUUUCUGAUGUUGCAGAAUUGGACGAUACAACAACAUACCUAGUGCAAAGUAGGGUUUGUGGAGGGUAGAGUAUAUGCAGACCUUACCUCCACCUCAGAGGUGAUGUUGCAAAAUUGGACGAUAAGGAAGUAAAAUAGGGGGCUAUCCAACCUCUCCAUGUGAGCUUUUCCAACUCAUGCAGAUUGGAUGA